GACGAACGCUGGCGGCGUGCUUAACACAUGCAAGUCGAACGCUGAAGACCUGGCUUUUGUUGGGUUGGAUGAGUGGCGAACGGGUGAGUAACACGUGAGUAACCUGCCCUCUUCUUUGGGAUAACGCCCGGAAACGGGUGCUAAUACUGGAUAUUCACUGAUCUUCGCAUGGGGGUUGGUGGAAAGGUUUGUUCUGGUGGGGGAUGGGCUCGCGACCUAUCAGCUUGUUGGUGGGGUGAUGGCCUACCAAGGCUUUGACGGGUAGCCGGCCUGAGAGGGUGACCGGUCACAUUGGGACUGAGAUACGGCCCAGACUCCUACGGGAGGCAGCAGUGGGGAAUAUUGCACAAUGGGCGAAAGCCUGAUGCAGCGACGCCGCGUGAGGGAUGGAGGCCUUCGGGUUGUAAACCUCUUUCGCUCAUGGUCAAGCCGCAACUGUGGGUUGUGGUGAGGGUAGUGGGUAAAGAAGCGCCGGCUAACUACGUG
This 486-nucleotide ribosomal RNA is filed under the name uncultured bacterium. Its description in RNAcentral is "partial 16S ribosomal RNA". It matches the Rfam family "Bacterial small subunit ribosomal RNA", at positions 28 to 507 of the family's 1533-position model. The record is from RNAcentral.